RNAcentral lists this ribosomal RNA (478 nucleotides) under uncultured bacterium. Its description in RNAcentral is "partial 16S ribosomal RNA". It matches the Rfam family "Bacterial small subunit ribosomal RNA", at positions 28 to 507 of the family's 1533-position model. The record is from RNAcentral.
GAUGAACGCUGGCGGCGUGCUUAACACAUGCAAGUCGAACGGGAAACCUUUUAUUGAAGCUUCGGCAGAUUUAGCUGGUUUCUAGUGGCGGACGGGUGAGUAACGCGUGGGUAACCUGCCUUAUACAGGGGGAUAACAGUCAGAAAUGGCUGCUAAUACCGCAUAAGCGCACAGAGCUGCAUGGCUCAGUGUGAAAAACUCCGGUGGUAUAAGAUGGACCCGCGUUGGAUUAGCUGGUUGGUGGGGUAACGGCCCACCAAGGCGACGAUCCAUAGCCGGCCUGAGAGGGUGAACGGCCACAUUGGGACUGAGACACGGCCCAGACCCCUACGGGAGGCAGCAGUGGGGAAUAUUGCACAAUGGGGGAAACCCUGAUGCAGCGACGCCGCGUGAAGGAAGAAGUAUCUCGGUAUGUAAACUUCUAUCAGCAGGGAAGAUAAUGACGGUACCUGACUAAGAAGCCCCGGCUAACUACGUG